Molecule: ribosomal RNA, 128 nt
Filed under: uncultured archaeon
Lineage: Archaea
Description: partial 16S ribosomal RNA
Rfam family: Archaeal small subunit ribosomal RNA
Source: RNAcentral
AAAACUUUACAAUGCCGGCAACGGCGAUAAGGGGACCUCGAGUGCCAGGUUACAAAUCUGGCUGUCGUGAUGCCUAAAAAGCAUUGCAUAGCAAGGGCCGGGCAAGACCGGUGCCAGCAGCCGCGGUA